RNAcentral lists this ribosomal RNA (497 nucleotides) under uncultured bacterium. RNAcentral describes it as "partial 16S ribosomal RNA". It matches the Rfam family "Bacterial small subunit ribosomal RNA", at positions 28 to 507 of the family's 1533-position model. The record is from RNAcentral.
GAUGAACGCUGGCGGCGUGCCUAAUACAUGCAAGUCGAGCGAACAGACGAUGAGCUUGCUCCUCUGACGUUAGCGGCGGACGGGUGAGUAACACGUGGAUAACCUACCUAUAUUACUGGGAUAACUUCGGGAAACCGGAGCUAAUACCGGAUAAUAUAUUGAACCGCAUGGUUCAAUAGUGAAUGACGGUUUUGCUGUCACUUAUAGAUGGAUCCGCGCCGGAUUAGCUAGUUGGUAAGGUAACGGCCUACCAAGGCGACGAUGCGUAGCCGACCUGAGAGGGUGAUCGGCCACACUGGAACUGAGACACGGUCCAGACUCCUACGGGAGGCAGCAGUAGGGAAUAUUCCGCAAUGGGCGAAAGCCUGACGGAGCAACGCCGCGUGGGUGAUGAAGGUCUUCGGAUCGUAAAACUCUGUUAUUAGGGAAGAACAACUGUGUAAGAAACCAUGCCCGUUUUGACGGUACCUAAACAGAAAGCCCCGGCUAACUACGUG